RNAcentral lists this ribosomal RNA (253 nucleotides) under uncultured bacterium. Its description in RNAcentral is "partial 16S ribosomal RNA". It matches the Rfam family "Bacterial small subunit ribosomal RNA", at positions 524 to 776 of the family's 1533-position model. The record is from RNAcentral.
GACGGAGGAUGCAAGCGUUAUCCGGAAUGAUUGGGCGUAAAGCGUCUGUAGGUGGCUUCUUAAGUCCGCUGUCAAAUCCCAGGGCUUAACCCUGGCCAGGCGGUGGAGACUACUAAGCUUGAGUACGGUAGGGGCAGAGGGAAUUUCCGGUGGAGCGGUGGAAUGCGUAGAGAUCGGAAAGAACACCAAGGGCGAAGGCGCGCUGCUGGGCCGACACUGACACUGAGAGACGAGAGCUAGGGGAGCAAAUGGG